UUGUACUAUAGAGGAGCUUUUAGCAUUAGUACAUAGUGGAGCAGGCAUGCUGGGAAACUAUGGAAAGGGUAUAAAAGCCGAAAUCUUAGCAAAGGCAUUUGCUUUGGUUGAUAAAGGGUCUUAAUCGAGCUUUAUUCUUUGACGCAUUCAUUGGUGCUAUAGAUACA
Molecule: non-coding RNA, 167 nt
Filed under: Mycoplasmopsis gallinacea
Lineage: Bacteria; Bacillati; Mycoplasmatota; Mycoplasmoidales; Metamycoplasmataceae
Description: Mycoplasma gallinaceum Lysine sequence
Rfam family: Lysine riboswitch aptamer
About the family: Riboswitches are metabolite binding domains within certain messenger RNAs that serve as precision sensors for their corresponding targets. Allosteric rearrangement of mRNA structure is mediated by ligand binding, and this results in modulation of gene expression. This family includes riboswitches that sense lysine in a number of genes involved in lysine metabolism, including lysC.
Source: RNAcentral